RNAcentral lists this ribosomal RNA (492 nucleotides) under uncultured bacterium. Its description in RNAcentral is "partial 16S ribosomal RNA". It matches the Rfam family "Bacterial small subunit ribosomal RNA", at positions 29 to 507 of the family's 1533-position model. The record is from RNAcentral.
AGUGAACGCUGGCGGUAGGCCUAACACAUGCAAGUCGAACGGCAGCACAGUAAGAGCUUGCUCUUACGGGUGGCGAGUGGCGGACGGGUGAGGAAUACAUCGGAAUCUACUUUUUCGUGGGGGAUAACGUAGGGAAGCUUACGCUAAUACCGCAUACGACCUACGGGUGAAAGCAGGGGAUCUUCGGACCUUGCGCGAUUGAAUGAGCCGAUGUCGGAUUAGCUAGUUGGCAGGGUAAAGGCCCACCAAGGCGACGAUCCGUAGCUGGUCUGAGAGGAUGAUCAGCCACACUGGAACUGAGACACGGUCCAGACUCCUACGGGAGGCAGCAGUGGGGAAUAUUGGACAAUGGGCGCAAGCCUGAUCCAGCCAUACCGCGUGGGUGAAGAAGGCCUUCGGGUUGUAAAGCCCUUUUGUUGGGAAAGAAAAGCAGCAGGUUAAUACCCCGCUGUUCUGACGGUACCCAAAGAAUAAGCACCGGCUAACUUCGUG